CCUACGGGGGGCAGCAGUGGGGAAUAUUGGACAAUGGGGGCAACCCUGAUCCAGCCAUGCCGCGUGUGUGAAGAAGGCCCUCGGGUUGUAAAGCACUUUCAGUGAGGAAGAACGCCUGGUGGUUAAUACCCAUCAGGAAAGACAUCACUCACAGAAGAAGCACCGGCUAACUCCGUGCCAGCAGCCGCGGUAAUACGGAGGGUGCGAGCGUUAAUCGGAAUUACUGGGCGUAAAGCGCGCGUAGGUGGCUUGAUAAGCCGGUUGUGAAAGCCCCGGGCUCAACCUGGGAACGGCAUCCGGAACUGUCAAGCUAGAGUGCAGGAUAGGAAGGUAGAAUUCCCGGUGUAGCGGUGAAAUGCGUAGAGAUCGGGAGGAAUACCAGUGGCGAAGGCGGCCUUCUGGACUGACACUGACACUGAGGUGCGAAAGCGUGGGUAGCAAACAGGAUUAGAUACCCUUGGAGUA
RNAcentral lists this ribosomal RNA (465 nucleotides) under Vreelandella stevensii. RNAcentral's name for it is "partial 16S ribosomal RNA". It matches the Rfam family "Bacterial small subunit ribosomal RNA", at positions 338 to 795 of the family's 1533-position model. The record is from RNAcentral. Lineage: Bacteria; Pseudomonadati; Pseudomonadota; Gammaproteobacteria; Oceanospirillales; Halomonadaceae.